GAGAGAGACAUGCGCGCAUAUCAAUAAGCGGAGGAAAAGAAACUAACUAGGAUUCCCUCAGUAACGGCGAGUGAAGCGGGAAGAGCUCAAAUUUGAAAUCUUCAAGGUUUUACCUUGACGAAUUGUAGUUUAAAGAAGUGUUUUCUGUUGGAAUUUUGGUAAAAGUUCUUUGGAAUAGGACAUCAUAGAGGGUGAGAAUCCCGUAUUUGGUCAUUCCUCCUAGCGUAGUGAUACACUUUCAAAGAGUCGGAUUGUUUGGGAAUGCAGUCCAAAAUGGGUGGUAAAUUUCAUCUAAAGCUAAAUAUUGGCGAGAGACCGAUAGCGAACAAGUACCGUGAGGGAAAGAUGAAAAGAACUUUGAAAAGAGAGUUAAACAGUACGUGAAAUUGUCAAAAGGGAAGCGUUUGACACCAGUGUUGUUUUUCCGAAAAUCAAUUACGAAUGUUUUAUUUUUGAGGAGUUAUGACUUCAUCGGCUUGCUCCUUUCUUUACUGAAACUUUCUUAAUGCACUUUUCGGUUAACAAGUCAACAUCAAUUUCUUUUGUUGUAAAAGGGUAUGAGGAAGGUGGCUUUCACUUUCGGUGAAAGUGUUUAUAGCCUUGUGCCUCUGCAAUCGGAGAGAUUGAGGUCUGCAGCGUAGAUCCUUCGGGGUUAGAUACGUUUGUGCUAAGUUAUAGCUUUUCAUAGACAACUUGUUGACUAUGUUUAGUCUUGUAGCUUACUCGCUGACGCUAUUUUACCUACGCUUAGGAUGUUGAUAGUCACAGCGUGUAC
RNAcentral lists this ribosomal RNA (775 nucleotides) under uncultured Neocallimastigales. Its description in RNAcentral is "partial large subunit ribosomal RNA". It matches the Rfam family "Eukaryotic large subunit ribosomal RNA", at positions 23 to 644 of the family's 3401-position model. Lineage: Eukaryota; Fungi; Neocallimastigomycota; Neocallimastigomycetes; Neocallimastigales. The record is from RNAcentral.